RNAcentral lists this ribosomal RNA (397 nucleotides) under uncultured bacterium. Its description in RNAcentral is "partial 16S ribosomal RNA". It matches the Rfam family "Bacterial small subunit ribosomal RNA", at positions 523 to 918 of the family's 1533-position model. The record is from RNAcentral.
AUACGUAGGGGGCGAGCGUUGUCCAGAAUGAUUGGGCGUAAAGGGCGCGUAGGCGGCCUGUUAAGUCUGGAGUGAAAGUCCUGUUUUCAAGAUGGGAAUUGCUUUGGAUACUGAUGGGCUUGAGUGCAGGAGAGGUUAUCGGAAUUCCCGGUGUAGCGGUGAAAUGCGUAGAGAUCGGGAGGAACACCAGUGGCGAAGGCGGGUAACUGGACUGCAACUGACGCUGAGGCGCGAAAGUGUGGGGAGCAAACAGGAUUAGAUACCCUGGUAGUCCACACUGUAAACGAUGAAUGCUAGGUGUAAGAGGUAUCGACCCCUUUUGUGCCGGAGUUAACACAAUAAGCAUUCCGCCUGGGGAGUACGGCCGCAAGGUUGAAACUCAAAUGAAUUGGCGGGG